This 343-nucleotide unclassified non-coding RNA is filed under the name Hevea brasiliensis (rubber tree). Lineage: Eukaryota; Viridiplantae; Streptophyta; Magnoliopsida; Malpighiales; Euphorbiaceae. The record is from RNAcentral.
UGAAAGUGAACUGAAGCUAUCAGCUACAUAGCCUCUUCGUUGUACUUCAAACAUCAAACACCCUAAUCUGAAAAUUUUGUGACAUAACUAACUACAUUUGCCAUCCAAAUCAUCCAAAAACUACUACUUCUUACUUUUUUUGUUCAACAAACGUCUAUAAGGGGGGAAAUCAUUCCAACUCAAAUUUUCCGAACUCUUCUGGCUGUAGUUCUCCUCUCUGAUAACCCCACAGAUUUGUCCAUGCUGAUUGGUAAAGGAGGCUUCUUGUUCUCCUUACUAGCUGUGCUUCUCAAGAAAUACCUUGAAGUUUCUCUCCUCUCUGCUAUUGGUGUAGAAGCAACAA